GAGAAUUCAGUCAGGGAUUCAAUGAGAUUUCCGUCAAAAGUUGUAGAAAUACCCCCUCUUCAUGAAUGAAAUCACCAUUUAAAGAGACUGUUUUAUGGAUGGCAGUGUGCUGGUGGGCUUCUUGCCCUAUUGCCUGACUUUCUUUCUAUCUGACCUCCUAAAGAUACAGUCAUUGGAAUUGAUUUUUAUGGAAAACAUCUAGUUAUAUCAGUACAUUUAGUAAUGAAUUUCUAUUCAUUGUAUUUGUUUAGUAAUGAAUUUAUAAUAAAACCGGAAUUACACAGAUUUUUUAUUUGGAAAGCUCUGGUAUCGGGUCAGUUAUGAUUUUGGUUUGGGUUCUUCUCUUUGGGCUGGGUCCCUACUGUUAGGGAUAUUAUUUACAUCCAAGGAUCCCUGGAGUUUGAAGCAAAGGGAAGGCACUCUGGAAGAAUACCCAGGAAGGAGUAGCAUAAUUGGAAAACCGAGAAAGCUGCAAGUAAACUCAUGUUUUGAGUAUAAAGGGCCACCUGGGGAUGGAUGCCUGAUCCAGGAGGAUUACCCAUAGGGUAGGGAAGGGGGAGGUAUGGAGAGUUGUCAGAUAAGAGUAAAAUGUGACCAUUCCUUGUAGAAGUACUCAGUUCUGUUGUGGGAGUGAUGUGUCAGUUAAAAGCAAAUGCACAUCCAGGGAUAGCUUGUAUUCACCUUUCCUUGUUUAGCCAUCUGUUUCUGUUUCACCAGCCUGGUAUUAUAAAAUGAGAUUAUGUUGGCUGGGCAUGGUGGCUCACACCUGUAAUCCCCGCACUUUGGGAGGCCGAGGUGGGCGGAUCACAAGGUCAGGAGAUCGAGAUCAUGGUGAAACCCUGUCUCUACUAUAAAUACAAAAAAUUAGCCGGGCGCUGUGGUAGGUGCCUGUAGUCCCAGCUACUCAGGAGGCUGAGGCAGGAGAAUGGCAUGAACCUGGGAGGCGGAGCUUGCAGUGAGCCGAGAUUGCGCCACUGCCCUCCAGCCUGGGCAACAGAGCAAGACUCCAUCUCAAAAAAAAAAAAAAAA
Molecule: long non-coding RNA, 1029 nt
Filed under: Macaca fascicularis (crab-eating macaque)
Lineage: Eukaryota; Metazoa; Chordata; Mammalia; Primates; Cercopithecidae
Description: lncRNA (ENSMFAG00000049370.1)
Source: RNAcentral